UACGUAGGGUGCGAGCGUUUGUCCGGAAUUAUUGGGCGUAAAGAGCUCGUAGGCGGUGUGUCACGUCGACCGUGAAAACCUGCAGCUUAACUGUGGGCGUGCGGUCGAUACGGGGCAUCACUGGAGUUCGGCAGGGGAGACUGGAAUUCCUGGUGUAGCGGUGAAAUGCGCAGAUAUCAGGAGGAACACCGGUGGCGAAGGCGGGUCUCUGGGCCGAUACUGACGCUGGAGGAGCGAAAGCCGUGGGGAGCAAACGGG
Molecule: ribosomal RNA, 258 nt
Filed under: uncultured bacterium
Lineage: Bacteria
Description: partial 16S ribosomal RNA
Rfam family: Bacterial small subunit ribosomal RNA
Source: RNAcentral